RNAcentral lists this small RNA (29 nucleotides) under Bombyx mori (domestic silkworm). RNAcentral's name for it is "ovarian small RNA-18536". Lineage: Eukaryota; Metazoa; Arthropoda; Insecta; Lepidoptera; Bombycidae. The record is from RNAcentral.
UAACAACAUCUUCAGGGUGCUAUUGCGGC